GAUGAAGAACGCAGUGAAAUGCGAUAAGUAAUGCGAAUUGCAGAAUUCCAGUGAGUCAUCGAAUCUUUGAACGCACAUUGCGCCCUCCGGCAUUCCGGGGGGCAUGCCUGUCCGAGCGUCACGAAAACCCCAUCACACUCGUUGUGGUCAUGGCUGCAGUGAGUCGUCUCCAGCGGAGAGGGUCACGCCGCUGAAAGGAAUGGUGCGGAUGAGUUCCGAUGGCCGAACGUAGUACUUGACAACCGUCGGCCGAUGGGACCCUCCAUCUCGCCCUGACAACGUACCCCCGUCGUACCCCCGAUCAGGUGGACCUCGGAUCAGGUAGGGAUACCCGCUGAACUUAAGCAUAUCAAUAAGCGGAGGA
This 364-nucleotide unclassified non-coding RNA is filed under the name soil metagenome. RNAcentral describes it as "partial contains 5.8S ribosomal RNA, internal transcribed spacer 2, and large subunit ribosomal RNA". The stretch from base 1 to 121 matches the Rfam family "5.8S ribosomal RNA", at positions 35 to 154 of the family's 154-position model. The record is from RNAcentral.